UACGUAGGGUGCGAGCGUUACUCGGAAUUACUGGGCGUAAAGGGUGCGCAGGCGGCAGAGCAAGUCGAGUGUGAAAGCCCCGGGCUUAACUUGGGAAUUGCGCUCGAAACUACUUUGCUGGAGUGUGGCAGAGGAAGGUGGAAUUCCACGUGUAGCGGUGAAAUGCGUAGAGAUGUGGAGGAACACCAAUGGCGAAGGCAGCCUUCUGGGCCAACACUGACGCUCAUGCACGAAAGCGUGGGGAGCAAACAGG
This 253-nucleotide ribosomal RNA is filed under the name uncultured bacterium. Its description in RNAcentral is "partial 16S ribosomal RNA". It matches the Rfam family "Bacterial small subunit ribosomal RNA", at positions 524 to 776 of the family's 1533-position model. The record is from RNAcentral.